GGCUCUUGCUCCAGCGACUAGACUCCUUUCCUGACUGUCGGUGUUCUCUGACCGAGCGCAAAGCAUUGAGAGCAUGGAAGAGGAGAGCCAUGGUCCCGAAAAUGUCUACACUGUUUUAGGAGAGGAUGCAAGAGGCGACACUGAUCUGGCACCCAGGACACUCAACAUUAGAAAACCACAAGCCAAUCUCUCUCUCUCUCUCUCUCUCUCUCUCUCUCUCUCUCUCUCUCUCUCUCUCUCUCUCUCCUUCCUCCUUCCCUCUCUUUCUCUCUCUGGCCACUGCUGCUGUGCAGGAUCCCGGACCAUGAACAAAGGUGGGCUUCCAGAAUCAUCUCCUCCCCCGGCUUGCUUUGCAGCCCGCACGCUUCCAUUGUCGUGCGCA
Long non-coding RNA from Alexandromys fortis (reed vole), 382 nucleotides. RefSeq lists it as uncharacterized. NCBI's taxonomy places the organism in Eukaryota, Metazoa, Chordata, Mammalia, Rodentia, Cricetidae. The transcript has 3 exons. The record is from RefSeq and is a predicted model, not a curated record.